This 1748-nucleotide long non-coding RNA is filed under the name Carica papaya (papaya). RNAcentral's name for it is "long non-coding RNA (CPAP_LNC008158)". Lineage: Eukaryota; Viridiplantae; Streptophyta; Magnoliopsida; Brassicales; Caricaceae. The record is from RNAcentral.
CUGAAAAAACAAUUGACAGCCAGUAGGGUGGAAUAUCCUACAAUAUAUGCCGAUGGAACCUCUUGUUUUUAUUUCAGACUUAUCUGCGGGCGGCCACACACCGAUUUUGAGCGACCCAUUUGCCCAAAACCCAAACCCACGUCCUUAAAAACUGCCUAAUCUCAAUCUUCUAUCUUCUAUAUAAAACCCAUUUGCCCCCUUUUUCUUUCGUAUCUGUCGUUGAAGGAAUUGCCUUCGAAAAAGUUUGAAGCUUUUCUGGUUUUUCAUCGUGGGUAUUUUGUUACAGAGUGGAAAAAGAUGUCUGCAGUGGUGGAGAUCUGGAUGAGUAAGCUUGCAAAGUUCAGAGAGAAGGUGCAGGCGAAGAAGCCAUUAAUGGUGUCAAAGCCUAAACCAGUCGCCAAGACAGCAGAAGCUGCUGAGACGAAAGAAGUGAGUAGAUCAUCAUCAGAGGUUCAUGCAGAAUCUACCAUGUCAGAAACUACUGUGUUUUUGCUUAUGGAUCGUUUUGUACCUUGGUGAUAAAUUAGUACUCAACCUGCCAUAAUCUGUAAAAAUAUGUUAAAAAAAAAAAAAAAGGAAACCUCCUUUCUUCUGUAUAAUUCUCGAAGUACAAAGCUUUUGAGAGCUGUGUUUUCUUUUUUUUUCAGGCCAAUGGCAUGAUUGCUGUGAAUAUUUUUUUUCUUCUUUGAAUUAUCUUUUUCCGUGUGCUUGAUUUGCAAAUUUCAACUUUUUGAUUGAGUUUAGUCCGUUAAUAAUUUUGAGUUUCCAAAUAAUGAAUUCAUUUGUUCCCAACACAGCCUGAGUUUCUGUGUUCUUGAUUUGCAAAUUUCAACUUUUUAACUACUGGGUCUGUUGUUCUAUUUAUGGUAUAUAACUUGAAUCCAAGUGGGUAAGUUUGGUUUGGCUGUUCAUCAAUAUUCAAGGCAGGCGCUAUAUAGAACUUGAAGAUGACAAACCAAAUUUGCAAUAUGAAGCACUUUGCUUACGGUCAUCUACAGUUUGGGUGUAUGUAUAACGUUUCACAUCUACACUCAAAUGGAAGAUUAUACUACAGAUGAUUUCAUUGCUAAUGCAUAUGAAUUUUAUCGGUAAUUGCUUGUUGAAUGGUGGGGAGGGUGUGGGUUCUACUCUGUAAAUGUAUUAUUUUAUUAAUUCAAUUUAUGAAUUUCUUCUCGAAAAUAUAAAACUAGUUAGUGUUCUCUGUCCUUCCUUUUCUUUUAAGGGGGAAAAAAACUUUCAUGUUUCAGGACUCUCAUGUUCUCAAAUUCCUCCAUGGUUACUUUUGAAUUUAAAGGGGAAAAAAAGAGAAAAAAAAAAAACAACUUGCUUAGAAUUCUAAUCAAGUAGAAGAAAUGAAGUGAUUGGGGGGAAAGAAAAUUACAAAAGCCAUCUCAAUUCUUCUAAGAAACCGACAAUUACUACAAGAGCAAUGCAAUUGGAAGCCACCUUUUUCCACAUGAUCCAAAAAGCAUAAAAAUCUCAAGCCAUCUGCAAGAUGCAGAUGAACCUCUUAUUAAAUUCUUUAAAAAGAAUCUGUGAGUUUCCCACGUUAUGUCCAUUCUACAAAUAUCUAAGAAAAAAUCUGAAACUUGUAGUCUUCAUUCUCUUGUCCUAUAUAAGACUUGUGUCCCUAUGCUUAUCACAACUUGUUUUUUAGCAGAAACAAACAGGUCUUGAAUAUUCAAGAGGUUGUACUUUCCUCCAUGGUGGUCGAAAGCUCGUUAAAUGAUGGUUCCUCUACAUUCCAC